This 443-nucleotide ribosomal RNA is filed under the name uncultured bacterium. Its description in RNAcentral is "partial 16S ribosomal RNA". It matches the Rfam family "Bacterial small subunit ribosomal RNA", at positions 338 to 795 of the family's 1533-position model. The record is from RNAcentral.
CCUACGGGAGGCUGCAGUGGGGAAUAUUGGGCAAUGGGCGCAAGCCUGACCCAGCAACGCCGCGUGAAGGAAGAAGGCUUUCGGGUUGUAAACUUCUUUUCUCAGGGACGAAGCAAGUGACGGUACCUGAGGAAUAAGCCACGGCUAACUACGUGCCAGCAGCCGCGGUAAUACGUAGGUGGCAAGCGUUAUCCGGAUUUACUGGGUGUAAAGGGCGUGUAGGCGGGAAAGCAAGUCAGAUGUGAAAACCAUGGGCUCAACCUGUGGCCUGCAUUUGAAACUGUUUUUCUUGAGUACUGGGGAGGCAGACGGAAUUCCUAGUGUAGCGGUGAAAUGCGUAGAUAUUAGGAGGAACACUAGUGGCGAAGGCGGUCUGCUGGACAGCAACUGACGCUGAGGCGCGAAAGCGUGGGGAGCAAACAGGAUUAGAUACCCCUGUAGUC